Molecule: ribosomal RNA, 643 nt
Filed under: uncultured bacterium
Lineage: Bacteria
Description: bacterial SSU rRNA
Rfam family: Bacterial small subunit ribosomal RNA
Source: RNAcentral
CGCGGCCUAUCAGCUUGUUGGUGGGGUAGUGGCUUACCAAGGCUUUGACGGGUAGCCGGCCUGAGAGGGUGACCGGCCACAUUGGGACUGAGAUACGGCCCAGACUCCUACGGGAGGCAGCAGUGGGGAAUAUUGCACAAUGGGCGGAAGCCUGAUGCAGCAACGCCGCGUGCGGGAUGACGGCCUUCGGGUUGUAAACCGCUUUCGCCUGUGACGAAGCGUGAGUGACGGUAAUGGGUAAAGAAGCACCGGCUAACUACGUGCCAGCAGCCGCGGUGAUACGUAGGGUGCGAGCGUUGUCCGGAUUUAUUGGGCGUAAAGGGCUCGUAGGUGGUUGAUCGCGUCGGAAGUGUAAUCUUGGGGCUUAACCCUGAGCGUGCUUUCGAUACGGGUUGACUUGAGGAAGGUAGGGGAGAAUGGAAUUCCUGGUGGAGCGGUGGAAUGCGUAGAUAUCAGGAGGAACACCAGUGGCGAAGGCGGUUCUCUGGGCCUUUCCUGACGCUGAGGAGCGAAAGCGUGGGGAGCGAACAGGCUUAGAUACCCUGGUAGUCCACGCUGUAAACGGUGGGUACUAGGUGUGGGGUCCAUUCCACGGGUUCCGCGCCGUAGCUAACGCUUUAAGUACCCCGCCUGGGGAGUACGG